RNAcentral lists this transfer RNA (63 nucleotides) under Cryptomonas paramaecium. RNAcentral describes it as "Cryptomonas paramecium tRNA". The record is from RNAcentral. Lineage: Eukaryota; Cryptophyceae; Cryptomonadales; Cryptomonadaceae.
UGCGCAUGGCCAGGCUUCUGAUAUAGAAGUAGAAGCUCAGCAAAUUUUAAAAAUAAAAAAGAC